UACGUAGGCAGCAAGCGUUGUUCGGAAUUACUGGGCGUAAAGGGCGCGUAGGUGGCCUUCUAAGUUGAACGUGAAAUCCCUGGGCUCAACCCAGGAACUGCGUCCAAGACUGGGAGGCUUGAAUCCGGGAGAGGGAUGCGGAAUUCCAGGUGUAGCGGUGAAAUGCGUAGAUAUCUGGAGGAACACCGGUGGCGAAGGCGGCAUCCUGGACCGGUAUUGACACUGAGGCGCGAAAGCCAGGGGAGCAAACGGG
Molecule: ribosomal RNA, 253 nt
Filed under: uncultured bacterium
Lineage: Bacteria
Description: partial 16S ribosomal RNA
Rfam family: Bacterial small subunit ribosomal RNA
Source: RNAcentral